RNAcentral lists this long non-coding RNA (223 nucleotides) under Lathyrus oleraceus (garden pea). Its description in RNAcentral is "Pisum sativum (pea) long non-coding RNA (PSAT_LNC008069)". Lineage: Eukaryota; Viridiplantae; Streptophyta; Magnoliopsida; Fabales; Fabaceae. The record is from RNAcentral.
GGAGAAAUCAAGGUUACAUAGCUCUUGAUAGAAAAAUGUUUCUUUAUUGGUCAAUUUUAUCGAAAGCUAUUUUGUGUCAAUCGACGGAAAAUGUUACUUACCCAAAACAGGUGAGGAGAAGAUGUUUGCAUCACAUUGAAUCAAUUUCUACAUAUCAACAUUCACGGGAAAACGUCACUUAAGCGUUAUUUUACAUUGUAUCGAUAUGAAAUAUCUUUCGUUU